UCCAUUUGUGAGAUGCUUAUUGAGCACCUGCUGUGUGCCGGGCUCUGUGAACGCGACCGCCCCCAGGGAGCCCCCACCGGCUGGAGAGGCCGACGAGUGGACCAGCCGCCUUGACUCAGCAGCCGUGUGGGCGGCCAUCGCCCAGAGUGGGAGACUGGUCUAGCUGCAGAGGCAGAAGCUUCAGGAAGAAUUGACAGCCGAGCUGAGGCCAGAAGCGGGAGCUGGUGGCCGAGGGCGCUGGGGGCAUCUGCAGUAUAGAACAUUCCAGAAUCCUGAAGACUUCUCCUUCAGCCAGAGGACAGCUUGCCAGCCCCUCCCCGACUGGCUGAUAAAUGCCGACCGCGGCCCCCCUGCUCCCGAGCUGCCUUAAUUGGUAUCAGGACGUGCCUGGACUCCAUCCUCCGGCCCCCCCCUUCCUCCUCUCCUGCCACUGCCUCCAGCCUCUGGUGGGGCUCACCUGCUGCCACAGCCCCAGGAGGAGGUGGGGAGACCAGUAACGACAGCUCCAUUUAUGUGGCACCGACUGUGUGCCCAGCCUGUGCUGACGAAGCCCUCUGCCUGCCCUCACUCCUCCCCACACAGCCCCACGAGGUCGGGGAAUCAUCCUCCUUUCCCAUCCGCACACACAGGAAGUGUCCCCUGGGCCCUCCACAUGCCCCCCCAGGCUGGGAGCUGGGGAUACUCAGGGGACCAGCCAGACUCGGCAGACCAGACUGCCUCCCCCCAGGAGCUCCCUGAUAGCUGGCAGGAAGGGCUUCUUCCCAGACAGUUGGCCUGGGAGGGCUUAAGAGUGAACCCCUUGCCAUUAUAGGAAGUUCAGAGAGGUUUGGCAACCUACCUAAGAUCACACAGCUAGAAAAGGAGGGAGAGAGAGCAAGGUUGCCCUCAAAACAACCACACGGUUGGUCCUCAAAGUCACGGGGGACAAAUCACUUGGGCACAAGUGAGAAACUCAAAUGCCUCCUCCUGAGAUUCUGAAUGAGGGUCUGGGAGCCCCAAGAAUCUGCAUGGAUGUCAGGCUCCCCAGAGAUGGGCCACUCGGGACUCUGGCUCUCCACACUGAUGGAGAACUUGGGGGGAGGGCAAAGCAGGGUGAAAUGAGAAUGACAUUUCAUUCAUUCAUUCAAUGAGCACUUACUGAGCAACCGCCUUGUGCCAGGCCUCCCCCUGGACGCUGGCAGGACCAACCGUGUGAUUUUCAGGGUCUACACGAGAGGAAAACAGGCCCCCCUUGUCCAAAGUGUAUUAAGAAUUUCAAGAUGGCAACAGCAGAGCGUUCAACCAUCUGGGGCCCUGAGAGACCUCGCAGGCUGCUCGCCCGUGAAGCCAGCCCCGCUGCUGGGGGCCCGUGCGGGAAGACAGCCAAGCCGCCGAGCCCCGAUCCCGAUCGGACCCCCGCCCCUUAACUGGAAUUCUGAAAUGGA
Long non-coding RNA from Equus quagga, 1424 nucleotides. RefSeq lists it as uncharacterized. The transcript has 3 exons. Lineage: Eukaryota; Metazoa; Chordata; Mammalia; Perissodactyla; Equidae. The record is from RefSeq and is a predicted model, not a curated record.